CCUACGGGUGGCAGCAGUGAGGAAUAUUGGUCAAUGGACGAGAGUCUGAACCAGCCAAGUAGCGUGAAGGAUGACUGCCCUAUGGGUUGUAAACUUCUUUUAUAUGGGAAUAAAAUGUUCCACGUGUGGGAUUUUGUAUGUACCAUAUGAAUAAGGAUCGGCUAACUCCGUGCCAGCAGCCGCGGUAAUACGGAGGUUCCGAGCGUUAUCCGGAUUUAUUGGGUUUAAAGGGAGCGUAGGUGGGUUGUUAAGUCAGUUGUGAAAGUUUGGGGCUCAACCGUAAAAUUGCAGUUGAAACUGGCAGUCUUGAGUACAGGAGAGGUGGGCGGAAGUCGUGGUGUAGCGGUGAAAUGCUUAGAUAUCACGAAGAACUCCGAUUGCGAAGGCAGUUCACUGGACUGCAACUGACACUGAGGCUCGAAAGUGUGGGUAUCAAACAGGAUUAGAUACCCCAGUAGUC
RNAcentral lists this ribosomal RNA (460 nucleotides) under uncultured bacterium. Its description in RNAcentral is "partial 16S ribosomal RNA". It matches the Rfam family "Bacterial small subunit ribosomal RNA", at positions 338 to 795 of the family's 1533-position model. The record is from RNAcentral.